CACUAAUCACAUGCCUAUAACCUUUCUAUGCUGCAAUAAAUGAUGAUAAAGAACAGCAAAUUGAACCUACAAGAGUAAUCUUGUCAGAUUAUUUAGACACUAGUAGCUGAAGUAUUAAUUAUUGCCUUCAACAUUUUUAGUAUAUUUCUUUGUAAAAUCUACAUAAAAAACCACUUUUUGUUAGUCAACAUAUGCUCAAUGAACAGCAAUCUACACAUUCCAAUACAUGUUAUUUUUAAGUGUUGCUUUACUAUGAUUUUCUAAAAAAUCACUUUUUUAUUCUGCAGACUGGAUAAGGGAUGGCCACAUAGUAAUUCUGAGCUCAUUUUCUGUGAAUUUCUGAGCGGACUAGAAGCACCCACAGAGCACAGAGGCCAGUGACACCACAGAAAAAAUGCCUUCAGGUGCAAGAGGAAGGAUGCAAGUCCUGUUAUCACUGAACAGAAUGACACUUGCAGCAGGAAGUGAUUUGUAUGGUUCUGGAGCUCCUUGAUGUGCUGUUCCUGAAUCAGCCUGUCUCACUGCCCACUCCCCCUUGCCUGCAGGUAGGUUCACUGCUCGAGACAUGACCUGUUAGCUCAGUCUGGCUACUCACUGAGAAGUCUUUGCUACUAUCAAACCCCAGCCAUGCUUAUUAUGACUGCAACUACUUCAAAGAGCUCCUGACUCCUUUCUAACAAGUCUGGGCGAAAUUCAGCUCUGAUGCAGUUUCCUGAAAUCAUUCUGUAUUACAGCAGGAACUAAGUUGAUUCAGCCUAACUUUUUACACCUAUUACCUUUCUGGCCCACUGAUGAGCCAGUGAGCAAGUGUGUCAUUUUGUCCAACCAGGCUAAACAAGAUCUGAGUCUUGCAUGGCUUUAAGUGAAUGUGUCUCUUCCCUUCCUGACUAAUGAGUUCUCAUAAACCAUUUCUAUGACCAGCUUCUUCUAAGUUGAAGGCUUUUACUCUAUUGUUUAAUUGACGAGAAGUCUCAAGAAUUAUUGCUGUGGAGGGCAGUGAAAGGGAGAUUUCAUGGGUCUUACUUCCUUAUGAAGCCAAU
RNAcentral lists this long non-coding RNA (1040 nucleotides) under Zonotrichia albicollis (white-throated sparrow). RNAcentral's name for it is "lncRNA (ENSZALG00000017268.1)". Lineage: Eukaryota; Metazoa; Chordata; Aves; Passeriformes; Passerellidae. The record is from RNAcentral.